RNAcentral lists this ribosomal RNA (636 nucleotides) under Salmonella enterica subsp. enterica serovar Kiambu. Its description in RNAcentral is "partial 23S ribosomal RNA". It matches the Rfam family "Bacterial large subunit ribosomal RNA", at positions 2168 to 2803 of the family's 2925-position model. The record is from RNAcentral. Lineage: Bacteria; Pseudomonadati; Pseudomonadota; Gammaproteobacteria; Enterobacterales; Enterobacteriaceae.
ACGCCAGUCUGCAUGGAGCCGACCUUGAAAUACCACCCUUUAAUGUUUGAUGUUCUAACGUGGACCCGUAAUCCGGGUUGCGGACAGUGUCUGGUGGGUAGUUUGACUGGGGCGGUCUCCUCCUAAAGAGUAACGGAGGAGCACGAAGGUUGGCUAAUCCUGGUCGGACAUCAGGAGGUUAGUGCAAUGGCAUAAGCCAGCUUGACUGCGAGCGUGACGGCGCGAGCAGGUGCGAAAGCAGGUCAUAGUGAUCCGGUGGUUCUGAAUGGAAGGGCCAUCGCUCAACGGAUAAAAGGUACUCCGGGGAUAACAGGCUGAUACCGCCCAAGAGUUCAUAUCGACGGCGGUGUUUGGCACCUCGAUGUCGGCUCAUCACAUCCUGGGGCUGAAGUAGGUCCCAAGGGUAUGGCUGUUCGCCAUUUAAAGUGGUACGCGAGCUGGGUUUAGAACGUCGUGAGACAGUUCGGUCCCUAUCUGCCGUGGGCGCUGGAGAACUGAGGGGGGCUGCUCCUAGUACGAGAGGACCGGAGUGGACGCAUCACUGGUGUUCGGGUUGUCAUGCCAAUGGCACUGCCCGGUAGCUAAAUGCGGAAGAGAUAAGUGCUGAAAGCAUCUAAGCACGAAACUUGCCCCGAG